GAUGAACGCUGGCGGCGUGCCUAAUACAUGCAAGUCGAGCGAACGGACGAGAAGCUUGCUUCUUUGAUGUUAGCGGCGGACGGGUGAGUAACACGUGGAUAACCUACUUAUAAGACUGGGAUAACAUCGGGAAACCGGAGCUACUAACAGAUAAUAUUUUGAACCGCAGGGUUCAAAAGUGAAAGACGGUCUUGCUGACACAUAUAGAUGGAUCCGCGCUGCAUUAGCUAGUUGGUAAGGUAACGGCCUACCAAGGCGACGAUGCGUAGCCGAUCUGAGAGGAUGAUCGGCCACACUGGAACUGAGACACGGUCCAGACUCCUACGGGAGGCAGCAGUGGGGAAUAUUGGACAAUGGGCGAAAGCCUGACGCAGCCAUGCCGCGUGAGUGAAGAAGGCCUUCGGGUCGUAAAGCCCUUUUGUUGGGGAAGAACAGCUGCAGGAUAAUACCUCGCUGUCCUGACGGUACCUAAACAAAAAGCACCGGCUAACUUCGUG
This 497-nucleotide ribosomal RNA is filed under the name uncultured bacterium. Its description in RNAcentral is "partial 16S ribosomal RNA". It matches the Rfam family "Bacterial small subunit ribosomal RNA", at positions 28 to 507 of the family's 1533-position model. The record is from RNAcentral.